RNAcentral lists this ribosomal RNA (440 nucleotides) under Edwardsiella piscicida. RNAcentral's name for it is "bacterial SSU rRNA". It matches the Rfam family "Bacterial small subunit ribosomal RNA", at positions 1 to 435 of the family's 1533-position model. The record is from RNAcentral. Lineage: Bacteria; Pseudomonadati; Pseudomonadota; Gammaproteobacteria; Enterobacterales; Hafniaceae.
UAAUUGAAGAGUUUGAUCAUGGCUCAGAUUGAACGCUGGCGGCAGGCUUAACACAUGCAAGUCGAGCGGUAGCAGGGAGAAAGCUUGCUUUCUCCGCUGACGAGCGGCGGACGGGUGAGUAAUGUCUGGGGAUCUGCCUGAUGGAGGGGGAUAACUACUGGAAACGGUAGCUAAUACCGCAUAACGUCGCAAGACCAAAGUGGGGGACCUUCGGGCCUCAUGCCAUCAGAUGAACCCAGAUGGGAUUAGCUAGUAGGUGGGGUAAUGGCUCACCUAGGCGACGAUCCCUAGCUGGUCUGAGAGGAUGACCAGCCACACUGGAACUGAGACACGGUCCAGACUCCUACGGGAGGCAGCAGUGGGGAAUAUUGCACAAUGGGCGCAAGCCUGAUGCAGCCAUGCCGCGUGUAUGAAGAAGGCCUUCGGGUUGUAAAGUACUU